This 118-nucleotide ribosomal RNA is filed under the name Pogona vitticeps (central bearded dragon). Lineage: Eukaryota; Metazoa; Chordata; Lepidosauria; Squamata; Agamidae. The record is from RNAcentral.
AUUGGAGCUCCCCUACCACCGUACAACCUGAGCUGAUCAGGUUUUGGAAGCUAAGCAGGGUCACUUCUGGAAUGUACUUGGAUGGGAGACCAGAAGGAAAUAUCAAAGAUCUCCAGAU